RNAcentral lists this ribosomal RNA (1166 nucleotides) under Bacteroides thetaiotaomicron. RNAcentral describes it as "partial 16S ribosomal RNA". The record is from RNAcentral. Lineage: Bacteria; Pseudomonadati; Bacteroidota; Bacteroidia; Bacteroidales; Bacteroidaceae.
ACGGGCGGUGUGUACAAGGCCCGGGAACGUAUUCACCGCGCCAUGGCUGAUGCGCGAUUACUAGCGAAUCCAGCUUCACGAAGUCGGGUUGCAGACUUCGAUCCGAACUGAGAGAGGCUUUUGGGAUUAGCAUCCUGUCACCAGGUAGCUGCCUUCUGUACCCCCCAUUGUAACACGUGUGUAGCCCCGGACGUAAGGGCCGUGCUGAUUUGACGUCAUCCCCACCUUCCUCACAUCUUACGACGGCAGUCUCUCUAGAGUCCUCAGCAUGACCUGUUAGUAACUAAAGAUAAGGGUUGCGCUCGUUAUGGCACUUAAGCCGACACCUCACGGCACGAGCUGACGACAACCAUGCAGCACCUUCACAUUUGCCUUACGGCUAUACUGUUUCCAGUAUAUUCAAAUGCAAUUUAAGCCCGGGUAAGGUUCCUCGCGUAUCAUCGAAUUAAACCACAUGUUCCUCCGCUUGUGCGGGCCCCCGUCAAUUCCUUUGAGUUUCACCGUUGCCGGCGUACUCCCCAGGUGGAAUACUUAAUGCUUUCGCUUGGCCGCUUACUGUAUAUCGCAAACAGCGAGUAUUCAUCGUUUACUGUGUGGACUACCAGGGUAUCUAAUCCUGUUUGAUACCCACACUUUCGAGCAUCAGUGUCAGUUGCAGUCCAGUGAGCUGCCUUCGCAAUCGGAGUUCUUCGUGAUAUCUAAGCAUUUCACCGCUACACCACGAAUUCCGCCCACCUCUACUGUACUCAAGACAGCCAGUAUCAACUGCAAUUUUACGGUUGAGCCGCAAACUUUCACAACUGACUUAACUGUCCACCUACGCUCCCUUUAAACCCAAUAAAUCCGGAUAACGCUCGGAUCCUCCGUAUUACCGCGGCUGCUGGCACGGAGUUAGCCGAUCCUUAUUCAUAUGGUACAUACAAAAUUCCACACGUGGAAAACUUUAUUCCCAUAUAAAAGAAGUUUACAACCCAUAGGGCAGUCAUCCUUCACGCUACUUGGCUGGUUCAGGCCUGCGCCCAUUGACCAAUAUUCCUCACUGCUGCCUCCCGUAGGAGUUUGGACCGUGUCUCAGUUCCAAUGUGGGGGACCUUCCUCUCAGAACCCCUAUCCAUCGAAGGUUUGGUGAGCCGUUACCUCACCAACUGCCUAAUGGAACGCAUCCC